Molecule: ribosomal RNA, 442 nt
Filed under: uncultured bacterium
Lineage: Bacteria
Description: partial 16S ribosomal RNA
Rfam family: Bacterial small subunit ribosomal RNA
Source: RNAcentral
CCUACGGGAGGCUGCAGUGGGGAAUAUUGGGCAAUGGGCGCAAGCCUGACCCAGCAACGCCGCGUGAAGGAAGAAGGCUUUCGGGUUGUAAACUUCUUUUAAGAGGGAAGAGCAGAAGACGGUACCUCUUGAAUAAGCCACGGCUAAAGACGUGCAAGCAGCAGGGGGAACAAGUAGGUGGCAAGCGUUGUCAGGAUUUACUGGGUGUAAAGGGCGUGCAGCGGGGAAGACAAGUCAGAGGUGAAAUCCCGCGGCUCAACCGCGGAACUGCCUUUGAAACUGUUUUUCUUGAGUGCCGGAGAGGUCAUCGGAAUUCCUUGUGUAGCGGUGAAAUGCGUAGAUAUAAGGAAGAACACCAGUGGCGAAGGCGGAUGACUGGACGGCAACUGACGGUGAGGCGCGAAAGCGUGGGGAGCAAACAGGAUUAGAUACCCGUGUAGUC